AUUGAACGCUGGCGGCAGGCCUAACACAUGCAAGUCGAACGGUAACAGGAAGCAGCUUGCUGCUUUGCUGACGAGUGGCGGACGGGUGAGUAAUGUCUGGGAAACUGCCCGAUGGAGGGGGAUAACUACUGGAAACGGUAGCUAAUACCGCAUAACGUCGCAAGACCAAAGAGGGGGACCUUAGGGCCUCUUGCCAUCGGAUGUGCCCAGAUGGGAUUAGCUAGUAGGUGGGGUAACGGCUCACCUAGGCGACGAUCCCUAGCUGGUCUGAGAGGAUGACCAGCCACACUGGAACUGAGACACGGUCCAGACUCCUACGGGAGGCAGCAGUGGGGAAUAUUGCACAACGGGCGCAAGCCUGAUGCAGCCAUGCCGCGUGUAUGAAGAAGGCCUUCGGGUUGUAAAGUACUUUCAGCGGGGAGGAAGGGAGUAAAGUUAAUACCUUUGCUCAUUGACGUUACCCGCAGAAGAAGCACUGGCUAACUCCGUG
This 490-nucleotide ribosomal RNA is filed under the name uncultured bacterium. RNAcentral's name for it is "partial 16S ribosomal RNA". It matches the Rfam family "Bacterial small subunit ribosomal RNA", at positions 30 to 507 of the family's 1533-position model. The record is from RNAcentral.